Long non-coding RNA from Oncorhynchus keta (chum salmon), 1332 nucleotides. RefSeq lists it as uncharacterized. The record is from RefSeq and is a predicted model, not a curated record. The transcript has 2 exons. Lineage: Eukaryota; Metazoa; Chordata; Actinopteri; Salmoniformes; Salmonidae.
UUAUUUCCUUACACAGCUGACUGAGUGCAGUCUUAGUGCCAGCAUCUGUCUUUGGUGGUAAAUAAACAGCCACAAAAAGUAUAGCUGAAAGCUCUCUAGGCAAGUAGUGUGCAAUUUAUCACAAUAUACUCUACUUCCGGCGAGCAAAAUCUAGAGACUUCCUUAGAUUUCGUGCACCAGCUGUUGUUUACAAAUAUGCACAGACCGCCCCCCCUCAUUUUACCGGAGUGUGCUGUUCUAUCUUGCUGGUGCAGCGUAUAUCCCGCUAGCUGAAUAUCCAUGUCCUCAAUCAGCCACGAUUCCGUGAAACAUAGGAUAUUACCGUAUUUGAUGUGCCAUUGGUAGGAUAUUCGUGAUCGUACCUCGUCUAGUUUAUUGUCCAAUGACUGCACGUUGGCGAGUAGUAUUGACUGUAACGGCAGCUUUCCCACCCGCCUUUUCCGGGUCCUGACCAGGCAUCCGUCUCUGCGUCGCUUCCUCUUGCAAAUAAUGGGAAAGUUGGGUGUUUGGAGAAUGUCUUGUGCGUCUUGCUUGUUGAAGAAAAAAUCUUUGUCGAAUCCGAGGACCUGAGCCCUAGGUCCAUGCCUCAGGACUACCUAGCAUGAUGACUCCUUGCUGUCCCCAGUCCACCUGGCCGUGCUGCUGCUCGAGUUUCAACUGUUCUGCCUGCGGCUAUGGAACCCUGACAUGUUCACCGGAUGUGCUACCUGUCCCAGACCUGCUGUUUUCAACUCUCUAGAGACAGCAGGAGCGGUAGAGAUACUCUUAAUGAUCGGCUAUGAAAAGCCAACUGACAUUUACUCCUGAGGUGCUGACUUGCUGCACCCUUCGACAACUACUGUGAUGAUUAUUAUUUGACCAUGCUGGUCAUUUAUGAACAUUUGAACAUCUUGGCCAUGUUCUGUUAUAAUCUCCACAUGGCACAGCCAUAAGAGGACUGGCCACCCCUCAUACCCUGGUUCCUCUAGGUUUCUUCCUAGGUUUUGGCCUUUCUAGGGAGUUUUUCCUAGCCACCGUGCUUCUACACCUGCAUUGCUUGCUGUUUGCGGUUUUAGGCUGGGUUUCAGUACAGCACUUUGAGAUAUCAGCUGAUGUAAGAAGGGUUAUAUAAAUACAUUUGAUUUGAUUUGGUUGAGAUACAGGAAGUACAUUGUUCUGGGAUUUUAAAAACAGAAAGAAAAAACCCAAGCAGUAUUUUCCCAGAGUAGGAAACAAAUGAGAACAUUAAAGGUUGAAUGACCACGUUCUUUCUAAGUGGUAAAGAGAUGUCUGCAGUGUCUAACCUGAACAUACAGAAGGGAAACAUGAUAUCAUUAAACACUAUGCAUCCUC